GGCACGUGGGGGCGGGCUUACACAUGCAGUCGACGAUGAAGGGAAGCUUGCUUCUUGGAUUAGUGGCGAACGGGUGAGUAACACGUGAGUAACCUGCCCUUGACUCUGGGAUAAGCACUGGAAACGGUGUCUAAUACCGGAUACGAACUUCCACCGCAUGGUGAGGAGUUGGAAAGAAUUUUGGUCAAGGAUGGGCUCGCGGCCUAUCAGCUAGUUGGUGAGGUAAUGGCUCACCAAGGCGACGACGGGUAGCCGGCCUGAGAGGGUGACCGGCCACACUGGGACUGAGACACGGCCCAGACUCCUACGGGAGGCAGCAGUGGGGAAUAUUGCACAAUGGGCGCAAGCCUGAUGCAGCAGCGCCGCGUGAGGGACGAAGGCCUUCGGGUUGUAAACCUCUUUUAGUAGGGAAGAAGCGUAAAAGUGACGGUACCUGCAGAAAAAGCACCGGCUAACUACGUGCCAGCAGCCGCGGUAAUACGUAGGGUGCAAGCGUUAUCCGGAAUUAUUGGGCGUAAAGAGCUCGUAGGCGGUUUGUCGCGUCUGCUGUGAAAUCUGGGGGCUCAACCCCCAGCCUGCAGUGGGCACGGGCAGACUAGAGUGCGGUAGGGGAGAUUGGAAUUCCUGGUGUAGCGGUGGAAUGCGCAGAUAUCAGGAGGAACACCAAUGGCGAAGGCAGAUCUCUGGGCCGUAACUGACGCUGAGGAGCGAAAGCAUGGGGAGCGAACAGGAUUAGAUACCCUGGUAGUCCAUGCCGUAAACGUUGGGAACUAGAUGUAGGGGCCAUUCCACGGUUUCUGUGUCGCAGCUAACGCAUUAAGUUCCCCGCCUGGGGGAGUACGGCCGCAAGGCUAAAACUCAAAGGAAUUGACGGGGACCCGCACAAGCGGUGGAUGAUGUGGAUUAAUUCGAUGCAACGCGAAAAACCUUACCUACCCUUGACAUGGUCGGAAGUCCG
Molecule: ribosomal RNA, 958 nt
Filed under: uncultured bacterium
Lineage: Bacteria
Description: bacterial SSU rRNA
Rfam family: Bacterial small subunit ribosomal RNA
Source: RNAcentral